CUGGAGCCACCGCGCCCGGCCCUGAGGCUACAUUUGCUCUGAGAAGCCAUGAGCUGGAGCUUUCUGGAGCACAAGUCAGAUGACAAGAUUAUUAAUGGGAGCAGGGCAAUGUCAUAUCUGAUUUCAUGCAUAUUCAUGUAGGGAGCCACACAGCUGGGACCAUGCGCUGUGGAGAGGACAAAUAAAGAGUGCUCUACCCCCCACCCCCAGCAUGAAGAAUGUCAUUGUGGAGAUGAGGAGCCUGAUUGGAAAAGUUUAAGUAAUUGUAGCCUUUAUUUUGAAAAAAAGGGAUAGAAUUUGCAGAAACAACAACAAAACAAGGUUUGCUACCCUGGCCAAACUAAGUCAAUACUAAGUUAUACAGAACCUUGUAUCUAAGGGUCACCCACCUAGAAGCUCUCUGGAUUGAAGUAUGCAGAGAGACAACUUUUGCACUUGGUGUCAACAAAAGAAGUAAAUGUUUAGAAGCAAAAGAGAAAGAAGGAAGGAAGGAAGGAAAGAAGGAAGGAUGGAAGGAAGGAACA
Homo sapiens (human) is the source of this 524-nucleotide long non-coding RNA. NCBI's taxonomy places the organism in Eukaryota, Metazoa, Chordata, Mammalia, Primates, Hominidae. The record is from Ensembl.